This 429-nucleotide ribosomal RNA is filed under the name Pseudomonadota bacterium. RNAcentral's name for it is "Proteobacteria bacterium partial 16S ribosomal RNA". It matches the Rfam family "Bacterial small subunit ribosomal RNA", at positions 355 to 776 of the family's 1533-position model. The record is from RNAcentral. Lineage: Bacteria; Pseudomonadati; Pseudomonadota.
UGGGGAAUAUUGGACAAUGGACGAAAGCCUGAUCCAGCCAUGCCGCGUGUGUGAAGAAGGUCUUCGGAUUGUAAAGCACUUUAAGUUGGGAGGAAGGGCAGUAAGCGAAUACCUUGCUGUUUUGACGUUACCGACAGAAUAAGCACCGCCUAACUCUGUGCCAGCAGCCGCGGUAAUACAGAGGGUGCGAGCGUUAAUCGGAUUUACUGGGCGUAAAGCGUGCGUAGGCGGCUAAUUGAGUCGGAUGUGAAAUCCCCGAGCUUAACUUGGGAAUUGCAUUCGAUACUGGUUAGCUAGAGUGUGGGAGAGGAUGGUAGAAUUCCAGGUGUAGCGGUGAAAUGCGUAGAGAUCUGGAGGAAUACCGAUGGCGAAGGCAGCCAUCUGGCCUAACACUGACGCUGAGGUACGAAAGCAUGGGGAGCAAACAGG